GAACCUGGGGAGUCCAAUCACCUAAUUAUAGCAGAGCAUCAGGAAGGCCUGAGCACGUAUGAACUUAAUACAAUUUCUACCCAAUGAUCUGAACAUCAAAAGGAAGAAGUUCCCUGAAGCUCAAGGAAAUUGCUGAAGCAGCUAUGACUCUUGAUGAAGCCAAUCUUUGUCACUUAACUAGUGGUCAUGAGAGUGGACAAGACUGUCCC
RNAcentral lists this non-coding RNA (209 nucleotides) under Loxodonta africana (African savanna elephant). The record is from Rfam by way of RNAcentral. Lineage: Eukaryota; Metazoa; Chordata; Mammalia; Proboscidea; Elephantidae.